UACGUAGGGCGCAAGCGUUAUCCGGAAUUAUUGGGCGUAAAGAGCUCGUAGGCGGUUUGUCGCGUCUGCCGUGAAAGUCCGGGGCUCAACUCCGGAUCUGCGGUGGGUACGGGCAGACUAGAGUGAUGUAGGGGAGACUGGAAUUCCUGGUGUAGCGGUGAAAUGCGCAGAUAUCAGGAGGAACACCGAUGGCGAAGGCAGGUCUCUGGGCAUUAACUGACGCUGAGGAGCGAAAGCGUGGGGGAGCGAACAGG
RNAcentral lists this ribosomal RNA (254 nucleotides) under uncultured bacterium. RNAcentral describes it as "partial 16S ribosomal RNA". It matches the Rfam family "Bacterial small subunit ribosomal RNA", at positions 524 to 776 of the family's 1533-position model. The record is from RNAcentral.